CUCGCUUUACUCUUUGUAACUUGAACCGAAACGAAGGCGCAUGGAAGACAUACAGUGUGUGUCCGUGUAACCUCAGCUUCAACUGUGGUCCAGGAUUGACAAUGAAUGGCCAAUGGCCGAUACGACGUCACUUCAAAAACCAAUAAACGUUGGGUGGGCGGGACAUCCCACUUUACACCGAGAAGGAAUCUAGCGAGCCAGAUCUUUCACUCGACCGUCAUAAACGUUAGUAGCGCACUAGAUUUGGGUCUCCAGACUGGUUUUGAAAUAAAGUUGAUAAAGCGUAUAAAAAGUCACCAGAUUGAUAGAAUUCUAAGCAAAUGUUUCUAACCGCGGAAAUCCGGAGAUCCCAUAGAGGGAUGCUCGAGUUAUGUUCAGGCGCUCGGUGGCUGAUCUCCAUCUUCAUGAAUAUCCACCAUUAGAAACUGGCCAAAAUGGUAUCCAUGGGGGAGCUGCAAUGAGAAAAUCAGUGCUAUUCAAGAGGAACGUAAAGGCUCAUCUCACAUCUUCCAAAAAAUACCUGGAUGGCCUCCAAGCCUUUUGGGUUGAUGGACUGAGGAGUCAAAAAUUGAACUUUUUGGAAGACAUGUGUCCCAUUACAUCUGGCAUGAGGCUACCACUAUAGCAUUCAGGCUUUGUUUCAUAUAUACUUUUGGACAGUGUUACAGUUGUACAAUUGUGUUUUCAUGAUGAACAAAAUCAGCUUUUUUUUAUUAUUAAAUGUAUGGAUCAAAUAUCUAAUCUAAUAUCUAAAGUCAUUAAUUAAUUUCUAAUUAAGUGUUCCUCAAAUAUAGAAAGGUUGACACAAAAAGCAUACUCUGUGAUCAAAAGUGUCAUUUUUAUGUUAGUCAAUAAGUCUUUGUAAAUGUUAGCUGUAAUCAUAAUCAUUUCAUAAACCUAAUCCUAUCCUUAAUAACUGUCAGUGGAAAUUAUUCACAUUCCUAAAACCCCCUGAAACACAGUUUAUCAUCAAAUCUCUCAUUACAAUAAAACAGCCAAAUAUACAUGCUGUUUCGUAUGUACAUUCCAGAAUUACAUAUAACAUCACACACUGUCUGUGAGAAGUGAAUGAAUUUAACUGGACAUGUUUAUGUAUUAAUAAUGCAUAAUAUAUACAGUAUAGUGAAGUGAAUUGAACAUUAGUAUCUGUAAGUUUUUGAGACAAAUAACUGAGAGAAAUUUAAGCUGUGUUUAACUAGAGUGAAAUACAAAUAUCAGCACAUCCAGUCACGUAGUCCAUCGGAAGUUAUUUCCAUAACUAGAAGUGGCCUAGGGACGUGCAGAUGAGUCACAGUAUUGUGUUUAUGGCAGCUGAAUUGUUUUCCUGUUUUUGUUGUAUUAGUAAGGAGAAGUGAUUGUGAUGUAGCAGUGAUCACUUUUGCUUUUGCAGAAUGAAUGCACAUGCAUAAUUAUUCCAGUUGGUUAUUUAUUGUCCUGACAGAAACCAUGUGUAAAAAAAAAAAAAAGAAAGAAAGAAAGAAAGAAAAACUCUGUCAGAUUGUGUUAAUGGGUCACAAUGUACCCAUUGCAAUGACCAUUCAUACUGUGCAGUAUGAUGAAAUCUUCCCCAGGUCUUGCAUCAGGGUGGUUUACUUUUUGGCCACAAGUAGGGGGAGAUCAUAGACAGUACAGGAAAGUGAGGGAGUAAAUGAAUUGUAAGUAUUUGUUUAUAGCUUAUUCUUUCAAUGGAGUCUACAGGACAGUUCACAUUUAUUAAAAGUGAGAGAGCCUGGGAAAUCCUGGAUUAUCCGCUUCCAGUCCCUCGUCAUAGUUCGUUUCACGUUUUGUUUAUCGACCCUGUUUUCCGUGACCACGACCUAGAUUCCUGCCUUGCCCCAUGUAUGCCUGUUUGCCGAUCGCCUGACCUCUUGCAUGUUUAUGGAUUACGUUUUGGAUCACGUUUUGGAUUUGUCUGCCUGUCUCUCUUUCAAAUAAACAACUGUUCAUACUGCACUUGCAUCCGUCCUAUCUCUGCUCCGUCACGAUUCGUGACAUAUACAACAUAUAACUUGCAGUGAAAUUACAACACUGCACACAUAUGGAUUCACAACUCUAAAUUUGUCUAAAUUGGCAUGAAUUAGUAGCCUAUGUGAAUAUUUGUAAUUAUGAUGGCAGCCCUCCUAACAGCAGUAAAGAUGCAAGAGUGCCGGAGCAACCAGUUCCUUCAUCAGGUGUGGUGAAGAGACCCUAUCCCAGAGUGCUAA
Ictalurus punctatus (channel catfish) is the source of this 2204-nucleotide long non-coding RNA. The record is from Ensembl. NCBI's taxonomy places the organism in Eukaryota, Metazoa, Chordata, Actinopteri, Siluriformes, Ictaluridae.